Molecule: ribosomal RNA, 663 nt
Filed under: uncultured bacterium
Lineage: Bacteria
Description: bacterial SSU rRNA
Rfam family: Bacterial small subunit ribosomal RNA
Source: RNAcentral
GAUGCUAAUACCGGAUAACAACACUAGACGCAUGUCUAGAGUUUGAAAGAUGGUUCUGCUAUCACUCUUGGAUGGACCUGCGGUGCAUUAGCUAGUUGGUAAGGUAACGGCUUACCAAGGCAAUGAUGCAUAGCCGAGUUGAGAGACUGAUCGGCCACAUUGGGACUGAGACACGGCCCAAACUCCUACGGGAGGCAGCAGUAGGGAAUCUUCCAUAAUGGACGAAAGUCUGAUGGAGCAACGCCGCGUGAGUGAAGAAGGGUUUCGGCUCGUAAAGCUCUGUUGGUAGUGAAGAAAGAUAGAGGUAGUAACUGGCCUUUAUUUGACGGUAAUUACUUAGAAAGUCACGGCUAACUACGUGCCAGCAGCCGCGGUAAUACGUAGGUGGCAAGCGUUGUCCGGAUUUAUUGGGCGUAAAGCGAGUGCAGGCGGUUCAAUAAGUCUGAUGUGAAAGCCUUCGGCUCAACCGGAGAAUUGCAUCAGAAACUGUUGAACUUGAGUGCAGAAGAGGAGAGUGGAACUCCAUGUGUAGCGGUGGAAUGCGUAGAUAUAUGGAAGAACACCAGUGGCGAAGGCGGCUCUCUGGUCUGCAACUGACGCUGAGGCUCGAAAGCAUGGGUAGCGAACAGGAUUAGAUACCCUGGUAGUCCAUGCCGUAAACGA